Molecule: ribosomal RNA, 301 nt
Filed under: uncultured bacterium
Lineage: Bacteria
Description: partial 16S ribosomal RNA
Rfam family: Bacterial small subunit ribosomal RNA
Source: RNAcentral
CAGUCGCCACGGUAAAACGAAGGGUGCAAGCGUUAAUCGGAAUUACUGGGCGUAAAGCGUGCGUAGGCGGUUUGUUAAGUCUGCUGUGAAAUCCCCGGGCUCAACCUGGGAAUGGCAGUGGAUACUGGCAAGCUAGAGUGUGUCAGAGGAUGGUGGAAUUCCCGGUGUAGCGGUGAAAUGCGUAGAGAUCGGGAGGAACAUCAGUGGCGAAGGCGGCCAUCUGGGACAACACUGACGCUGAGGCACGAAAGCGUGGGGAGCAAACAGGAUUAGAUACCCCCGUAGUCCCUGUCUCUUAUAC